RNAcentral lists this long non-coding RNA (206 nucleotides) under Mytilus galloprovincialis (Mediterranean mussel). Lineage: Eukaryota; Metazoa; Mollusca; Bivalvia; Mytilida; Mytilidae. The record is from RNAcentral.
GCCCGCCGUCAUACAUUUAUUGUUAAACUAUUGCGGUGAUUCAGCCAAACAAAUUUGAUUUUUUUCUUUAUUCUUUCUUGUCCGAUACUUAUCAACUGCUAUUAAGUCUUACAGGGUGUUGUAAUUUAUAGGUUGACAUUGGUCUGACCAACAUACAAGUCCUUGUCGUUGGAUGUGCUUGGAAUAAAUCGUUUGCACAUUUUUUG